RNAcentral lists this ribosomal RNA (497 nucleotides) under uncultured bacterium. Its description in RNAcentral is "partial 16S ribosomal RNA". It matches the Rfam family "Bacterial small subunit ribosomal RNA", at positions 28 to 507 of the family's 1533-position model. The record is from RNAcentral.
GAUGAACGCUGGCGGCGUGCCUAAUACAUGCAAGUCGAGCGAACAGACGAGGAGCUUGCUCCUCUGAUGUUAGCGGCGGACGGGUGAGUAACACGUGGAUAACCUACCUAUAAGACGGGGAUAACUUCGGGAAACCGGAGCUAAUACCGGAGAACAUGCUGAACCGCAGGGUGGAACAGUGAAAGACGGUCUUGCUGGCACUUAUAGAUGGAUCCGCGCCGCAUUAGCUGGUUGGUAAGGUAACGGCUUACCAAGGCAACGAUGCGUAGCCGACCUGAGAGGGGGAUCGGCCACACUGGAACUGGGACACGGUCCAGACUCCUACGGGAGGCAGCAGUAGGGAAUCUUCCGCAGAGGGCGAAAGCCUGACGGAGCAACGCCGCGUGAGUGAAGAAGGUCUUCGGAUCGUAAAACUCUGUUAUUAGGGAAGAACAAAUGUGUAAGUAACUAUGCACGUCUUGACGGUACCUAAUCAGAAAGCCACGGCUAACUACGUG